GGCUGGAUACCUCAGUUGGUUAGAGGGCUCGGUUCAUACCCGAGUUGUCGUGAGUUCGAGUCUCACUCCAGCCACCA
This 77-nucleotide transfer RNA is filed under the name Mycoplasmoides gallisepticum. Its description in RNAcentral is "tRNA-Met". It matches the Rfam family "tRNA". Rfam says of the family: Transfer RNA (tRNA) molecules are approximately 80 nucleotides in length. RNAcentral also lists the same sequence under 13 other names. The record is from RNAcentral. Lineage: Bacteria; Bacillati; Mycoplasmatota; Mycoplasmoidales; Mycoplasmoidaceae.